This is a non-coding RNA of Camellia sinensis, 826 nucleotides long. NCBI's taxonomy places the organism in Eukaryota, Viridiplantae, Streptophyta, Magnoliopsida, Ericales, Theaceae. The record is from RefSeq and is a predicted model, not a curated record.
UUGUGCUGAGAGUGUAUAUCACAUUGGUGAGAAACUUUUCAAAGUCAAAAGAAUAGGGGUCUAUCUUGCUAUGUGCAUGUUGGAGAAUUCAGGUACAGAGAGAGAACUGGGUGUGUAUAUGGCUUAUCUUUCUGCCGAGAGCAUUUUAAAAAAAGAGUGGGUUUAACAAUUGAGGCAUUGUAGAGAGAGAGAGAGAGAGAGAGAGAGAGUUCAAAGCUUAGAACUCAUGUGCUGGAAAUGGUAAAGAAAGGCUAAGGAAAAAGCUUGGGAAAGUGAAGGAUUGAAGAGGAGAUCAAGAUUUUGUCAAGAAUUCUUUAAUUGAAGAUUUUAGGUCACGCGCUAUUGUCUGCCUGAUUUAUCUGAUCUGUCCAAUCUGUCUGAUUUGCUCUGCAGCCAUCUUAUGAUAUCUGUACCCGGACCAGAGGUUCCUUAUGGAACUGACAAGUAAUCUGCACCUGGCUGGAGGUUCCUUUAUGAAACUGACAAGUUACCCGUUCCCGGUCCGAAGGUUCCUUUAUGGAACUGAAAAAGUUAUCCGUACCCGAUGGAGGUUCCUUUAUGGAACUGACAAGUAUGAUCUGUGAUACUAUGUAUGUGAUCUGUUAGCGCUAACGGAUGUAGUAUGUAAAAUUAAGCAUGAACUCUGAUUUCUGAAUAUGAUUUGAAUAAGAAUAUGAAUAUGAAUCUGUUUCUAUUUCUGAUUGAAAUUUGAAUAUACAUAAGACUUUGUUUCUGAUAAGAAUCCAUUUUUGAUAUAAACUCUGAUUUCUGACUCUAUGAUGGACAUCAUUCUUUGAAACCCUUUACUUUGUUAUUAUUCACUAAG